Long non-coding RNA from Alligator mississippiensis (American alligator), 917 nucleotides. RefSeq lists it as uncharacterized. Lineage: Eukaryota; Metazoa; Chordata; Crocodylia; Alligatoridae. The transcript is spliced from 5 exons. The record is from RefSeq and is a predicted model, not a curated record.
CAGAAGUUUCUUUGUUUUAAUUUAGAACAAGCCUCAUCUGUAUGAGAUGCAAUUUUUUUUGGCAUUUCCAUUAGCACAUUUAAAUUGCAGUUAUUACAAACCUUGUUACCCUUAGGAAUGUACUUUCCACAAGCUCUCCAAGCAUUGUUGGAGAAGCAAAACAAGAAACAAAAACUUUUGCUUCAAUUUUUCAGCAAAGAGGGAGAGGAAGCCAACUCAGAAAUGAGGGGAUUAUCUAUUAUGAAUCAACAGGAGGCACUUUUGAAAGAAGAAACAUUGCUAUCCAGAUUUGAAGGAACUGAAGCAUUUAUUGGAACAAAAAAUGCUCUUUAUUCAAAUGUUAUUUGAUUGAAUUGUGUAUUCCUUCUUGAAAAACAUGGAAAAUGACUGAAGGAAAAUCGAAUUACCAAAGCGGUCUGCCAUCUGAGACUUGUCCACAACAACUCCUGAGCCAGGAUGAGGAGGGACAAGUGGCUUCUUUGACUGGGAUGCCUGCCUGGAGAUAGAACAGUGGAUUUCACAGCCUUUCUUCUACUGGAGUGAAGGCACAGGAAUGGAAAACAGCAUGCCUGAUGAGCUACAAACCAACUGCUUCCAGCAUGGGCUCACUGCAUCAGCAACAACCUUGUGCCCUCAUUAUCAAUAGUACAUAUGUGGUAGUGAGGAGGGCUUUAAACUAGGUUCACUGGUGGAUGGAGACCAAAGCCCUGAGGUUUCAGCUGGUUGCACUUGCGAUUCAGUCAUGGUCAGGCAAAUGAGAGUAUUUUCUAGACGAAUUUAGCUCAGAAAGCGCCCUCUGUACCAGAGCACCAUCCAGAAGAGGCUGAGAUCGGGUCCUAGAGGACACCAAAUGAGAUCAUUGCACAAGGCACAGUACCUACAUAUAGCAAGACACCAUUUAUGAUAAAAAAUAGGUA